Molecule: ribosomal RNA, 383 nt
Filed under: uncultured eukaryote
Lineage: Eukaryota
Description: partial 18S ribosomal RNA
Rfam family: Eukaryotic small subunit ribosomal RNA
Source: RNAcentral
CAAUAGCGUAUAUUAAAGUUGUUGCAGUUAAAAAGCUCGUAGUUGGAUUUCUGGUGGGAGCGAUCGGUCUGGCGCUUAGCGCGAGUACUUGCAUCGUCUCCGGCCAUCCUUGGGGAAAGUCUGUCUGGCAUUAAGUUGUCGGGCAGAGGAUCCUCAUCGUUUACUGUGAAAAAAUUAGAGUGUUCAAAGCAGGCUUAUGCCGUUGAGUAUAUUAGCAUGGAAUAAUAAGAUAGGACUUUGGUACUAUUUUGUUGGUUUGCGCACCAAAGUAAUGAUUAAUAGGGACAGUUGGGGGUAUUCGUAUUCCGUUGUCAGAGGUGAAAUUCUUGGAUUUACGGAAGACGAACUACUGCGAAAGCAUUUACCAAGGAUGUUUUCAUUAA